Molecule: ribosomal RNA, 497 nt
Filed under: uncultured bacterium
Lineage: Bacteria
Description: partial 16S ribosomal RNA
Rfam family: Bacterial small subunit ribosomal RNA
Source: RNAcentral
GAUGAACGCUGGCGGCGUGCCUAAUACAUGCAAGUCGAGCGAACAGAUGAGGAGCUUGCUCCUCUGACGUUAGCGGCGGACGGGUGAGUAACACGUGGAUAACCUACCUAUAAGACUGGGAUAACUUCGGGAAACCGGAGCUAAUACCGGAUAAUAUAUUGAACCGCAUGGUUCAAUAGUGAAAGACGGUUUUGCUGUCACUUAUAGAUGGAUCCGCGCCGCAUUUGCUAGUUGGUAAGGUAACGGCUUACCAAGGCAACGAUGCGUAGCAGACCUGAGAGGGUGAUCGGCCACACUGGAACUGAGACACGGUCCAGACUCCUACGGGAGGCAGCAGUAGGGAAUCUUCCGCAAUGGGCGAAAGCCUGACGGAGCAACGCCGCGUGAGUGAUGAAGGUCUUCGGAUCGUAAAACUCUGUUAUUAGGGAAGAACAAAUGUGUAAGUAACUAUGCACGUCUUGACGGUACCUAAUCAGAAAGCCACGGCUAACUACGUG